RNAcentral lists this ribosomal RNA (1957 nucleotides) under human gut metagenome. RNAcentral's name for it is "bacterial LSU rRNA". It matches the Rfam family "Bacterial large subunit ribosomal RNA", at positions 1 to 1983 of the family's 2925-position model. The record is from RNAcentral.
GAAAGUAAGCAAGGGCAGACGGUGGAUGCCUUGGCUCUCGGAGGCGAUGAAGGACGUGAUAAGCUGCGAUAAGCUUGGGGUAGGUGCAAAUAACCUUUGAUCCCAAGAUUUCCGAAUGGGGCAACCCGGCUGGUAGAAGGCCAGUCAUUCCGUAAGGAAGGCGAACGUGGGGAACUGAAACAUCUAAGUACCCAUAGGAGAAGAAAACAAAAGUGAUUCCGCAAGUAGUGGCGAGCGAACGCGGAACAGCCCAAACCGAUGAUGUUUAGGCAUUGUCGGGGUAGUAGGACCACGUUGUGGCAAGAGAUUAAGGAAGUAGAACGUUUUGGAACAAACGGCCGUAGACGGUGAAAGCCCAGUAUACGACUCUUUAACGAAGCCUAGUGGAAUCCUGAGUAGCGCGGAGCACGAGAAAUUCUGUGUGAAUCAGCGGGGCCCAUCCCGUAAGGCUAAAUACUCCCGAGAGACCGAUAGCGAACCAGUACUGUGAAGGAAAGGUGAAAAGCACCUCGAACAGAGGAGUGAAAUAGUCCCUGAAACCGUCUGCCUACAAGCGGUCGGAGCAACGUAAGUUGUGACGGCGUGCCUUUUGCAUAAUGAACCUACGAGUUACUUUCUCCGGCAAGGUUAAGGGCUUCAGGCCCGGAGCCGAAGCGAAAGCGAGUCUUAAUAGGGCGUGAUAGUCGGAGUGAGUAGACGCGAAACCAAGUGAUCUACCCUUGGUCAGGAUGAAGGUUGGGUAACACCAACUGGAGGUCCGAAUGGGUAUACGUUGAAAAGUGUUCCAAUGAACUGAGGGUAGGGGUGAAAGGCUAAUCAAACUUGGAGAUAGCUCGUACUCCCCGAAAUGCAUUUAGGUGCAGCCUUUAUUUAGUAUAGCAUGAGGUAGAGCGACUGAUUGGAUGCGAGGGCUUCACCGCCUAUCAAGUCCAGAUAAACUCCGAAUGCGUGCUAUAUAUUGAUAAGGAGUGAGGGCGCGGGUGCUAAGGUCCGCGUCCGAGAGGAGAAGAAUCCAGACCAUCAGCUAAGGUCCCCAAAUAACAGUUAAGUUGAACUAACGAAGUCGGACUGCAGAGACAGCUAGGAUGUUGGCUUGGAAGCAGCCAUUCAUUUAAAGAGUGCGUAACAGCUCACUAGUCGAGGAGUCCGGCGUGGAUAAUACUCGGGCAUAAACUGUUUACCGAAGCUAUGGAUGUAGAAAUACAUGGUAGGGGAGCAUUCCAACGGCGUCGAAGGUGAAGGAUGACCUUUGCUGGAGCUUUUGGAAACGCAAAUGUAGGUAUAAGUAACGAUAAAGGAGGUGAGAAACCUCCUCGCCGAAAGACUAAGGUUUCCUGAUCAACGUUAAUCGGAUCAGGGUAAGUCGGGACCUAAGGUUAAGCCGAACGGCGAUACCGAUGGAAGAAUGGUUUAAUAUUCCCAUACUACUUUAUGGAGCGAUGUGGAGACGGAGAAGUGAAAGUCCUGCCAUCUGACGGAAUAGGUGGUUGAAGAGUGUAGAUGUAGAUUCCUGUAGGCAAAUCCGCAGGGAGAGUCGACCUUGACAGUAUGCCGCGUGCUUGCACAAGGCAAAAUGGACGUAAUCAGGCUCCCAAGAAAAUCCGCUAAGCAUAUUCAUAAAGUACCCGUACCGUAAACGGACACACGUAGUUGGGUUGAAAAUACUGAGGCGCUCGAGUGAUUCACGGUUAAGGAACUAGGCAAAUUGACCCUGUAACUUCGGGAUAAAGGGUCCCUACUGAGAGGUAGGGCGCAGAGAAUAGGUCCAGGCAACUGUUUAACAAAAACACAUGGCUGUGCGAAAUAGAAAUAUGAAGUAUACAGCCUGACACCUGCCCGGUGCUGGAAGGUUAAGAGGAGAGCUCAUCGCAAGAGAAGGUUUGAAUUGAAGCCCCAGUAAACGGCGGCCGUAACUAUAACGGUCCUAAGGUAGCGAAAUUCCUUGUCGGGUAAGUUC